AUAGAUAAAUCAGAUAUGGAAUCCAAACCCUAAUUUUGGAUUUUGAUCAAGGAAUUAGAAUAAUAAUAUAAUAUUAAUUAUAUUUUGAUUUUUCAGUGCUAUAAAUAUGUACUGUAUGUACGUAUUGAUAAUGGUUGGUCAAUUAUAGUGUAUUAUGACCAAACCCUAGCAAUAUUUUUAUAAACCCUAGUAUUACUGUUAAACCUUAAUUCCGAAGUCAAAUGAGACUUUAAAAAAAUAUGUUUAGACAUUGUGUUAUGUGUUAUACGAUUUGUAUUUUAGGUAAAGCCUUAUUAUUAUGGAAAACCAUAAUUAUAAAUUAAAACCCUAAUUUUUGAAAUUAGAAACCCUAAUGUGAAACUUAAACCGGAGGUUAUGUUCAGUCAGAAAUUGUGUUUAUGUGAUUAAUAUCAUGUAUGAUUGAGUUUAUUGCUAAUUAUGGGAAAACCUAAUUAGUAAUCUAAAACCCUAAUAUCUAGAACCCUAAUUUAGUAAUUUAAAACCCUAAUUAUUAAUUAUAAACCCUAAUUGAUAAAUUCGGCACCUUAAUUGCUAAAUUUGAACGCUUAAUAAUAAUUAGUAAAUGUUAAAUCCUAAUGUGCAAGACCUAAGUGGCUAGGUAACCUAACUUAAUUAGGAGACCCUAAUUACAAAUUUUAGAAACUAAUUUUAUUUUUAUUUUAAACCCUAAAUGAAAACCUAAAAAUUCAUUUUGUGCUAAACCUUAGGGUUAAAACCUAAGGGUCAAACCCUAAAGGUUUGCUAAUUGACCAAAGUGCCAUUAAAAUCUCAAGAUAAAUGACUAUUUUGCCCUUAUUGUAUAAUUGAAGCUAACUUGUCAAAAUUGCCAAGAUGGGAGUUGGUGACCAAAUACAACUACUCUUUUGACUUAAUAUUCACCAGCUAUCAGCCAAGUACCAGCCAUACAUGCAUCUAACACAUAUAUAUAUAGGAUUGGAAAGAGAGAAUUGAACAUUCAUGCUCAUUUUUGUACAAACCCUCAACCUAUCUCUCUCAACUCAAAACCCACGAAAUCCUUUGCUAAGACUAGUCCCAAAACACAGCCCCACUACUGCUCAUAACCAAAUCAGUGGCCUAGAAUCAAAACUUGUUCAUAAAAGGUAUAAACCCUAACUUGAAAUCUGUUCUAUGAUCCUAUGUUAAAUGUUAUGAUUGAGUGUUAAAAUAUGUUGUUUAUAGUAUAUAAUGAUGAUCUGGGUUGCUAGAUGUUAGAUCCAUAACAUCUAGAGGCUCAGAUUUGAAGUUUUACAAAAUCUGGAAAAAAAUUGUUUUAUGUUCUGAUAAUGCAUGUCAGAGGCUGUAGAUCUUUCUCGGUUUAUGAUUUGGUUGUUUAGAUGUUUGCACUUGUAGUCUGCAAUGAUAUCUUUGAUCGGGUUUUGAAAUCAUGCUCGAAUCAGAUCCAGGUUGCAAGAUAUUCUUAGUCAAACAUGGUUGACCGAGCAUGACUGGGCAAUUCUGGGUAACCCAGAAAUUGCCCAGAUCGUGUCUGACAAGCUUUUGUUGACCUUGGAUCUGUCAGUGUUUUGUUGUUAUGAUGUUGUUGUUGUAUCUAAGUUGUAGUCUGGUAUAUGUAUUACAUGUUCAUGCCUUUAUAUCACCUAAAUGAUAAACAUAAGGGAUUUAGCCGCGGGUUAAACCAGCCAAGUCGAACAUAUUUUUUGUUUUCUAGGUAACCCAGAAAACAUUUGAAUGUGUUGUCUGACAAGGUUUGACCGGACAUUAUCUGCUUGAUUUGUUGUUGUUAUGAUGAUGUUACGUAAUAGAUCUGUUGUCCUACAUGUUGGCUACACACUGAAGCUUAUAUAUCACUAAAACAUUACAUAAAAAGCAAGUAGUGGAAGCCCAAAGUAGGCCUCACGAACUGUUCUUCAUUUCUGGGUAACCCAAAAAAGAAGAACAGGUUUGACAGCCAAUUUAGAGGCUCAGAUCUCUUUUGUGUUGUGUUUUGUUCAUGUUUGUUGUUAGAUCUUGUAGUAUUACACUAGUACUAUAAGAUCAAGGUAUUAGCUUGCCCAGAAACACAAUGAUAUAAUGUUUAAAGUUUGGUCAAACUAGCUAGCUCGUUCACUGACUUGAUUUUCUGGGUUUGAAGAUGCACAUGAAGAACACCUAUACCGACGGUUUUGUCGCUAUAGGUGGUCUUUAGCGACAGUUUCUUUAUAAAAAUUAUAUUUUUAUUAAAUAAGUAUAGAAAAUUAGUUUUGAAUUAUUAAAAAUACAAAUUAAAUUAUUCAAAAUUAUUUUAAAGUCUAAAAAUUAGUUUUUAAUAAUUUUUAAUAUAUUUCAUAAAUAAUUAAUAUUUUUGAGAUAUUAAAGGUAUUUAAUU
This 2347-nucleotide long non-coding RNA is filed under the name Panax ginseng (ginseng). RNAcentral's name for it is "long non-coding RNA (PGIN_LNC001165)". The record is from RNAcentral. Lineage: Eukaryota; Viridiplantae; Streptophyta; Magnoliopsida; Apiales; Araliaceae.